RNAcentral lists this long non-coding RNA (600 nucleotides) under Astyanax mexicanus (Mexican tetra). RNAcentral's name for it is "lncRNA (ENSAMXG00005021416.1)". Lineage: Eukaryota; Metazoa; Chordata; Actinopteri; Characiformes; Acestrorhamphidae. The record is from RNAcentral.
UGGCAGUCUGCUGGUUGAUUAGCCAGCAGACUUCCUCUGAGGGAAGUCAGGAGACGAGAGAGAGAUGGACUUUUCCAGAUGGAGUAAUGAUCUUAAAGAUUCUAUUGUCCUCAAGCAAGAAGGCUCCAGAAAAAUCCCCCUACAAUGAUAGACAGCAAGAGUCCUGCAGUAUUGCCAGUUUUAGUCCAAUGACUGGCCGGGUGUUCCUGAUUGGUGACAGGAUUGCAAGCUGGUGCGUCGUUCGCCGCUGGGUUCCAGUUAGGAGCUGCCUGCUGUUGUCCCCUUGAGCAAAGCACUUAGCCUCUGCUGCCCCAGAUGGUGCUGUAUAACUUCCAGUUGGGCAAUGUUAGGCAGCAUAAUGACAACUUUGCAUUGUAAAAUGGAUCAGUAAAGUACCUUAACUUUUAAUGAUUUUGAUGAUAGUGUGUGUGUGUAUUAUGUUACAACAUUUUGAAAGAUUCUGAAGGUGGUCAAUACAUUAUUAAACAGACCUCUCUCUUGCUCUCUGACAUUCUUUCUGUCUCUUUUUGCAUCUCUCAUUAUACCUCAAACAUCUGCCUUCCCUUCCCUCCCUCUCCCCGAGCUCUGGAGACAGAAUUC